CUGUAGUCUAAUCAAAAGUGUGUGUGAGUGCGUGUCUGUGUGUGUGUCUGUGGUUUUUAGGAUCCGUGGUUAUGCAGUCCUUUGGGAAAAGUUAAGAUAUACAGCCUGUUUCUAAUAAACAGUCCCGCAGCUUAAUUUACUUAUUCUGUGUUCUUACUUUAAAGAUCUAAACAGAGCCUCACAUGCAGUAGACUUCUGUUUCACUCGUUGCCUCUUACAGGAGAUGAAUGGUGUAUUCAGAGGAGGAUUCAGACUUCAUUUAGACCCUGCUUCAUGACGUCCAAGACUUUUUGAUAUAACUGUGGAAUGGAAAAAAACAUCUGGACUGCAAAAGCAUUGUGGGAGAUGAUCAAAUGCUGGUAAAGAACCACAACUGACUGGCUGAAGUAUAAAAAUUGCUGAAGGGCAUUUUCUAUCACACUAUAGGCAGCUGCACACAAAAUUGAUGGAAAAUUAACUUUCCAAGG
Harpia harpyja (harpy eagle) is the source of this 467-nucleotide long non-coding RNA. RefSeq lists it as uncharacterized. The transcript is spliced from 3 exons. NCBI's taxonomy places the organism in Eukaryota, Metazoa, Chordata, Aves, Accipitriformes, Accipitridae. The record is from RefSeq and is a predicted model, not a curated record.